This 417-nucleotide long non-coding RNA is filed under the name Ananas comosus (pineapple). RNAcentral describes it as "long non-coding RNA (ACOM_LNC033343)". Lineage: Eukaryota; Viridiplantae; Streptophyta; Magnoliopsida; Poales; Bromeliaceae. The record is from RNAcentral.
GAUCAGCACGACAAAGACAACAAACUCACAACUUUGUUUCGCCUCGUUUGUUCAUGAAUUUCCGACAAAACCAAAACUCUCUCCAACUUUCCAAAACCACACCUAAAUAUAAAUGUAAAUCCAAUAAACUCCCAGUUUCUCGAAAAUCGUGCAUCAAACCUAAAAUCCAUCAGCGCCAUUGGUUCCAGAAUAGUUGAACCGUUCAAAACGAGCUAUAGGAUCACUAUGAACGGAGUCUGAUACGUGCCAGAAGCCAACUCUACUCAUCAGCCUCUCCGGAUAAUCGGAGUUACUAUUCACUUUAAGUGAUUAGUAAUGAUCGGGUAACUUUUCCAUUCUAACUCAUUUUGUGUUGAAACUUGACGAGUGCUUUUGUAAUUAAAUUACACACAAAAAUAUCGUCAACAGAGAGUUUAG